Long non-coding RNA from Erinaceus europaeus (western European hedgehog), 852 nucleotides. RefSeq lists it as uncharacterized. Lineage: Eukaryota; Metazoa; Chordata; Mammalia; Eulipotyphla; Erinaceidae. The transcript has 3 exons. The record is from RefSeq and is a predicted model, not a curated record.
UAAGCUUUUUAUGCAGAGGAAAGCACAGAGGCCAAAGUCUGGGUGUGUGAGAAUGCUGCUUUGCUUGGGCAGCUUUGCAUAGUUUGGUUUGGCUAUGGUACCGCUUUCUGCAGGGGAGUGGUGAGUGACUAGGCGUGGCUUCUGAAAUCUUCAGUAUCUCCCUCUGUGAAUUGAAAGGCUGGAAUGAGGUGGCCCUUGGGGAUACUUAUGGUAUUAAACAUUCCCCGACUCUUUCAUCAUGGGAUGAGUUAGACUUGAUGUGACUGACAGGCCCUCAAAGCAUCUGACUGCAAAUGAAUCAAGGGAUAUUGUCACUGCUCAGCUCUGCUUAUGGUGAUGCCCGGGAUUGAACCUGGGACUUUGGAGCCUCAGGCAUAAGAGUCUUUUUGCAUAACCAUUAUACUAUCUCCCCCUCAUGUCACUGAAAAAUAUGCUAAACAGAACUGGGCCCUUACAGACCUUUCUUCAGCCAAGGUAGCCAGACAAAGAUGCCCCAACAUUUCUUGGAGGCAUGGGAAGGAAAAAGAAUACUUUGAAAGAUGAUAUUCAGCAUUAUAAUCCAGUAUCAUGAAAAUGAAAGAUCUGUGAAUCAGACAGAAAGAGAAAGACAGCAAAGCACUGAAACUUCCCUCAGUGAUGUAGAGGCUGGGCCUGAAGCAUGUGUCCAUGAUGAAGCAAGAUCAUGAUCCAUCCCUCAAUUCACUUUAAAUGCAAACAACAGACAGAAAAAUAAAGCUUGUCUGGUAAGGCACAAAAAGAUAUACUCAACAGUAGAGACUAGACAGCUGGAUAAUAAUGAAGAUGGGGGUGUUCUUUUCAACCACCAGGUUCUAGAUGCUAGCAUGAUGCCGA